CAGAUAGAAGCUUUAUAGAAGUAUUUUAUUUACAUUAAAGGGAUUGUUUUUAGGACAUUAUCUGA
This 65-nucleotide transfer RNA is filed under the name Scolytinae sp. BMNH 1039990. RNAcentral's name for it is "tRNA-Val". The record is from RNAcentral. Lineage: Eukaryota; Metazoa; Arthropoda; Insecta; Coleoptera; Curculionidae.